AGUGAACGCUGGCGGUAGGCCUAACACAUGCAAGUCGAACGGCAGCACAGUAAGAGCUUGCUCUUACGGGUGGCGAGUGGCGGACAGGUGAGGAAUACAUCGGAAUCUACUUUUUCGUGGGGGAUAACGUAGGGAAACUUACGCUAAUACCGCAUACGACCUACGGGUGAAAGCAGGGGAUCUUCAGACCUUGCGCGAUUGAAUGAGCCGAUGUCGGAUUAGCUAGUUGGCGGGGUAAAGGCCCACCAAGGCGACGAUCCGUAGCUGGUCUGAGAGGAUGAUCAGCCACACUGGAACUGAGACACGGUCCAGACUCCUACGGGAGGCAGCAGUGGGGAAUAUUGGACAAUGGGCGCAAGCCUGAUCCAGCCAUACCGCGUGGGUGAAGAAGGCCUUCGGGUUGUAAAGCCCUUUUGUUGGGAAAGAAAAGCAGCAGGUUAAUACCCCGCUGUUCUGACGGUACCCAAAGAAUAAGCACCGGCUAACUUCGUG
Molecule: ribosomal RNA, 492 nt
Filed under: uncultured bacterium
Lineage: Bacteria
Description: partial 16S ribosomal RNA
Rfam family: Bacterial small subunit ribosomal RNA
Source: RNAcentral